This is an RNA transcript of Oncorhynchus keta (chum salmon), 4178 nucleotides long. It is a transcript of the gene named E3 ubiquitin-protein ligase RNF6-like, with no coding region annotated. The record is from RefSeq and is a predicted model, not a curated record. The transcript has 5 exons. NCBI's taxonomy places the organism in Eukaryota, Metazoa, Chordata, Actinopteri, Salmoniformes, Salmonidae.
UAGAUGUUUUAAUCCUCGUAGUCGUGCGGUUUCAUUGGGUAGGAACUAAUCUGACAUUGAUAGUGUUUGGUCAGACGGUGAGAAGUGUAGCACAGGUGGUCCCAUCUUGGCUACAUUGUAAUCAGAGCGGAGAGGAAAGCAAACCCGUCCAUAUUACAGCUGCUGUGUCAGCGGUUUCCAUGGUGAUGGACCCUCCCGGUGGGCGAGACGAGCGGCGGCGUCAGGCGGAGCGUCUUCGAAGGGAGGAGGCGUACUAUCACUUCAUCAACGAUCUCAGCGAGGAAGAGUACCGCCUCAUGAGAGACAGCAACCUGCUGGGCACACCUGGUGAAGUGACAGCGGAGGAGCUACGGCAGCGCCUGGACGGGGCAAAGGAGCGUGUGUCAUCUCAGCCCCGACCUGAACCACGCCCACAAAAUACGGAGGCCGGAGAAGAGGAGGGGAGCAGCGGUACUGCUGAGCCGGGAGCAGAGACAUCUAAUGGCGACUCGCUGCUGGAGUGGCUGAACACGUUCCGACGAACCGGGAACGCCACACGGAGCGGCCAGAGCGGCAACCAGACGUGGCGCGCGGUCAGCCGCACCAACCCCAACAGUGGAGAGUUCCGCUUCAGCCUGGAGAUCAACAUCAACCAUGAGCAGCCGGAACCAGGGGAGCACAGUGACACCCCCGACCCCUCAGAGUUGUCCCCUGUCCCCCCUCCAUCCACAGCGUCCAUACGCACUUCCCCUUCCACUCGCCCCUCACCCUACACCCCUGCCCGGCCCUCCCCCUAUCCCUCACCUCGAGCAACCCUGGGCAGGAGGGCUCAAACCCGCCGUACACGCAGUACUACCACCACCCCUCCUCUGACUCCUGCACCCUUCACCUCACCCCUGUCCCCCCCUACUGCUCUAAGGAGUACAACAGCCCUCCACCUCCCCCCAUUCCCCAUCACCCCCCCUACCCUUCAGGAUCAAAGCAGCCCUCCACAGCUCCAGUCCCCAAGCGGAGCUUUCCUCCCAAGAGGAGAGGCAGGAGGAGGGGGUUGCUACCCUGGACUGCCCCCGUGUAGCGCCCCAGUCUGGCCCCCAGGGGGCGUCUGUGGGGCAUGAGCCACACAGCAGCAGGACUCGAUCCCGCGGCCGGACCCGCAGGGCUGUGGCAGGAGGUGGGACUUCCUCCCGGUCAUCUAGGAGACGUAGCCGCUCCCCUCUUCAGAGAAACCCCGCCCCUAACUCAGCUACCUUAUCCCCUAAUGGUGGGAGUGGAAAUGGUGGCUCUAAUAAUAUCCACACUGCCGAGCCCAGCAACGGAACUGCUUCUGUCUCCAUGGAGACCGGUGAAGCCGUGUCAGAGCCGGCUGUAGUAUCAGAGCCUGGUCCUGAGGCAGAGGAGCAGGAGGGAGAGGCACACACGGCCGGGCCGGGGGGCGCCGGAGGGGUACGCCGCCAUCCCACCAUCAUGCUGGACCUGCAGGUGCGUCGCAUCCGACCGGGAGAGAACCGGGACCGAGACAGCAUCGCCAGCCGUACCCGCUCCCGGGCCCGCGCUGCUGAGAAUACCGUCACCUUCGAGAGUGACAGUGGAGGCUUCCGGCGCACCAUCUCCCGCUCGGAGCGGGCCGGGAUCCGGACCUACGUCAGCACCAUCCGGAUCCCUCUGAGGAGGAUCAGUGAGACGGGCCUGGGGGAGCCCAGCUCCACCGCCCUGCGCUCCAUCCUCAGACAGAUCAUGACCGGCUUCGGAGAGCUCAGCUCCCUCAUGGAGACGGAGGCUGACUCUGAGACCACCGGGGAACGCCAGCAGCGAGAGUGGAACUGGGGUGGAAGGUCAGGCAGGAGGGUGGAGAUGGAGGCCGAGGGAGUGGCAGGGGCCGAGGAAGAAGGAGGCCAGGAGAGAUUAGUCGGGAGUGACGGCGGUGCCGGUGGGGUCCCUACCCCCAAUGAGGGUCGGCCGACGAGCAGGGACACAAACAACCUAGUGGAAAACGGCACACUGCCCAUCCUGCGUCUGGCCCACUUCUUUCUGCUCAACGAUGAGGAGGACGAGGAGCACCCUCGUGGCCUGACCAAAGAGCAGAUCGAUAAUCUGGCCACGCGCACCUACGGCCAGGCUAGCCUGGAGGGAGAGGCGGGACGCGCCUGCAGCGUCUGCAUUAAUGAGUAUGCCCAGGGGAAUAAGCUGCGCCGCCUGCCCUGUGCCCACGAGUUCCACAUCCACUGCAUUGACCGCUGGCUCUCUGAAAACAACACCUGCCCCAUCUGCAGGCAGCCCAUCCUCCCUGUGCACCAGGACUGACCCUGCCCUGACCUUUGAUCCCUAGAACCCCCUGACCCUAGACCGCCACCAGCUACACCUUGCCACCUGUUGGCUGAACUGAGCAUGCCCGAGCGGAGUGGACGGUGCAUGUACAUAACGCUUUAAUGUUUUCAUUUAUCAUUGCGCUAUCCAUUGAAGGGAGGGGGGGGACUAUAAAUGCAGAGAAUUAACAAAGCUUUAUUUUUUUAGAAGUAUUUUAUUUUCAGCACUUUUUUCUUUCUUCCCCUCCUUGUUUCUGUUUGGCCACUCUGUCAUGAUGUCACUGAGGUCCACAUGUAAAGAUAGGACUUAUGCUAAUGAGCUACUAUAGCCAGCUGCUGCUCCUCUACCUGAUGCGCUGUGACAUCACCCUGUCACAACCAGACUACAGUAAUCAGUCAGACGCAUCUCUGGACUUGAUUUGGUUGAGAACGUGUAAAUAUGUCACCGCCUCCUGUGUUUUGGGGUUCAGAAGAGAAAGUCCUCAGUCACAUUGCAUUUUUAAUCAGAAGCAGGAAACAGCCAUUUUAAGUUAAAAGCUAAUAUUGGAAUCUUCCAUUUUAAAGCCCCGACAUUCCUUUCAAAGUGUCCUCUAUGAUUUGACAUUGUGUGGACAGAGGCUGUCGUGUAUCCUGACUUUUGAAUGAGUUUUCACUUGGUCAGUGGUCCCAAGGAUCCUGUUGUUUGCCCACCUGUUCAGUAUAUUUCAACCGAGCCAUCGAACCCCACAGAUCCACAGUGGAUGUUCAACAUUUCAUUCCGUUACAGCCUUUGACAGUAAAAUAUUAGUACCCCAAGUCAGAAAGAAACAUCUAAAGAAAUAGAUUCAGGAAAGUGUGUGAUUUAGCAGCAAGCACUUGUAGUAGAACUUGUCUAUUACAGAGACAGGCCAAUAAUGUUGAUGCUAGACAAGGAGUUGUGCAAUAUCAUGGAGGGAAGGAAGGACUGUUUUUCAUAGUUACAUUUUAAAUCAUUAUAGUGCUGUUCUUUCUCCCUUGUUUACUCCUUGGCAUCAAUGAUUAGUUCCUCUGUUGGGAAAUAGAGUAUCUGCUCAGUAGUAUUCUGUCCCUCUACCCUCGGCCUCCUAGAGAUACCCCAGUAAUCAAAAAGUAGUUCAUCACCUCCCACUCCUUUAACGUUUGUGUUUUAAAGUCCCAGUUCUGGUAGAACCUGCCUGUCAUGGCCGGAUUUCCAUGUUCACAAACCUGAAAGGAAUGAAUGGGUGAAAGCAAAAUGGUUCCGGCACCACUCAACCAUUUUCUAUAUCUAUCCAAUCCUUUCAGAUCAGUGAACAACAGAUUUCUUCCUCCAUUAGCCUGGCCUAGAUCUCAAUGGGCUUUUCCUGCAUGCAGUAUCACCAUGUUACCACCAGGGGCAGUAUUCACCACAGUACAACAUGGUGAGAACUGGAGGCCAGUGUUAUCGGUGUCCAGGUAGGGCAGGGGUUUUCUGUCAUUUGAAUCCUGACCUUUGUCAUGCAGACCCAUGAGACAGGUGUGUGAUAAUUGGGUAAUAUUGCUCUUUGUAUACUGCAGAAUCUGAGCGUAGGUUCAUUGUGGAGCUGUGAGUGUGAUGAAGAAGUGUGUGUGUGGUAGAGCUGAAGGAAGUGACAAAACAGAAUGUCAUAUGAUUUAGCAGCAUUAAUCAGUCACCUGAAUGUUAAUCUAAGACCGAGUGGGAGGGUUUGUGGCCAUCGAAUUCAGAAUUUAGUAUGUAUUCUGUUCCUAUUUAAUGAGAUCAAAAACAUCCUUUGAGAUAUUGAAUACUUAUUGUUAUGUGAUGAGAUUAAAACAAACUGUUAAGAUUAAUGUGUUCUGUUACUGUGUAAUAUAAAUAUACAAGGGUUUUCUUCUCUGCUCCUUAACAAUGGAAUUAAAUACAGCUUUGUUAUGCCUGGA